This 1425-nucleotide ribosomal RNA is filed under the name uncultured bacterium. RNAcentral's name for it is "bacterial SSU rRNA". It matches the Rfam family "Bacterial small subunit ribosomal RNA". The record is from RNAcentral.
GGCCUAACACAUGCAGUCGAGGGGCAGCGGGGAUAGCAAUAUCUGCCGGCGACCGGCGCACGGGUGCGUAACACGUGUGCAAUCUGCCUGCAACCGGGGGAUAACCCGUUGAAAGACGGACUAAUACCUCAUAAAACAGGGGUACCGCAUGGUACAAUUUGUUAAAGAUUUAUCGGUUGCAGAUGAGCACGCGCAACAUUAGAUAGUUGGAGAGGUAACGGCUCCCCAAGUCUACGAUGUUUAGGGGUUCUGAGAGGAAGGUCCCCCACACUGGAACUGAGACACGGUCCAGACUCCUACGGGAGGCAGCAGUGAGGAAUAUUGGUCAAUGGUCGAGAGACUGAACCAGCCAAGUCGCGUGAAGGAAGAAGGUUCUAUGGAUUGUAAACUUCCUUUGCAGGGGAAUAAAGUUGGUUACGUGUAACCAUUUGUAUGUACCCUGCGAAUAAGGAUCGGCUAACUCCGUGCCAGCAGCCGCGGUAAUACGGAGGAUCCGAGCGUUAUCCGGAUUUAUUGGGUUUAAAGGGUGCGUAGGCGGGAGAUCAAGUCAGCGGUGAAAUUUUUGAGCUUAACUGAAAACUUGCCGUUGAAACUGGUUUUCUUGAGUACGGAACGGGCAGGCGGAAUGCGUGGUGUAGCGGUGAAAUGCAUAGAUAUCACGCAGAACCCCGAUCGCGAAGGCAGCUUGCCGGGCCGUAACUGACGCUGAUGCACGAAAGCGCGGGUAUCAAACAGGAUUAGAUACCCUGGUAGUCCGCGCCGUAAACGAUGAAUACUAACUGUUUGCGAUAUACAGUAAGCGGUACAGCGAAAGCGUUAAGUAUUCCACCUGGGGAGUACGUCGGCAACGAUGAAACUCAAAGGAAUUGACGGGGGCCCGCACAAGCGGAGGAACAUGUGGUUUAAUUCGAUGAUACGCGAGGAACCUUACCCGGGCUUGAAAUGUACUCGAAUAAGAAGGAAACUUUUUAGCCAGCAAUGGCGAGUAUGUAGGUGCUGCAUGGUUGUCGUCAGCUCGUGCCGUGAGGUGUCGGCUUAAGUGCCAUAACGAGCGCAACCCCUAUCAUUAGUUGCCAUCAUUAAGUUGGGGACUCUAAUGAGACUGCCGCCGUAAGGUGCGAGGAAGGCGGGGAUGACGUCAAAUCAGCACGGCCCUUACGUCCGGGGCGACACACGUGUUACAAUGGGGGGUACAGAGGGCAGCGACGGAGCGAUCCGAAGCGAAUCUCACAAAACCCCUCUCAGUUCGGAUUGGAGUCUGCAACUCGACUCCAUGAAGCUGGAUUCGCUAGUAAUCGCGCAUCAGCCACGGCGCGGUGAAUACGUUCCCGGGCCUUGUACACACCGCCCGUCAAGCCAUGGGAGCCGGGGGGACCUGAAGUACGCGACCGCGAGGAGCGUCCUAGGGAAAACCCCGGAAAGGGG